Podarcis lilfordi (Lilford's wall lizard) is the source of this 73-nucleotide non-coding RNA. The record is from the annotation of a GenBank genome assembly. Lineage: Eukaryota; Metazoa; Chordata; Lepidosauria; Squamata; Lacertidae.
AGAUGCUGUAGCUCAGGGGUUGAGCACCUGCUUGGCAUGCAGAACUUCUUGGGUUCAAUGCCCAGCAUGUCAA